This 433-nucleotide ribosomal RNA is filed under the name uncultured bacterium. RNAcentral's name for it is "partial 16S ribosomal RNA". It matches the Rfam family "Bacterial small subunit ribosomal RNA", at positions 29 to 507 of the family's 1533-position model. The record is from RNAcentral.
AACGAACGCUGGCGGCAUGCCUAACUCAUGCAAGUCGAACGAGACCUUCGGGUCUAGUGGCGCACGGGUGCGUAACGCGUGGGAACCUGCCCUUAGGUUCGGAAUAACUCCCCGAAAGGGGUGCUAAUACCGGAUAAUGUCUUCGGACCAAAGAUUUAUCGCCUUUGGAUGGGCCCGCGUUGGAUUAGCUAGUUGGUAGGGUAAAAGCCUACCAAGGCGACGAUCCAUAGCUGGUCUGAGAGGAUGAUCAGCCACACUGGGACUGAGACACGGCCCAGACUCCUACGGGAGGCAGCAGUGGGGAAUAUUGGACAAUGGGCGAAAGCCUGAUCCAGCAAUGCCGCGUGAGUGAUGAAGGCCUUAGGGUCGUAAAGCUCUUUUACCCGGGAUGAUAAUGACAGUACCGGGAGAAUAAGCUCCGGCUAACUCCGUG